Molecule: ribosomal RNA, 164 nt
Filed under: Primulina sinensis
Lineage: Eukaryota; Viridiplantae; Streptophyta; Magnoliopsida; Lamiales; Gesneriaceae
Also listed under: 1 other name
Description: 5.8S ribosomal RNA
Rfam family: 5.8S ribosomal RNA
About the family: 5.8S ribosomal RNA (5.8S rRNA) is a component of the large subunit of the eukaryotic ribosome. It is transcribed by RNA polymerase I as part of the 45S precursor that also contains 18S and 28S rRNA.
Source: RNAcentral
CUAACGACUCUCGGCAACGGAUAUCUCGGCUCUCGCAUCGAUGAAGAACGUAGCGAAAUGCGAUACUUGGUGUGAAUUGCAGAAUCCCGUGAACCAUCGAGUCUUUGAACGCAAGUUGCGCCCGAUGUCUUCUGGCUGAGGGCACGUCUGUUUGGGCGUCACGC